Molecule: long non-coding RNA, 617 nt
Organism: Capsella rubella
Lineage: Eukaryota; Viridiplantae; Streptophyta; Magnoliopsida; Brassicales; Brassicaceae
Exons: 2
Source: RefSeq, a predicted model, not a curated record
GUAUCUUCUUCUUCCUAGCCUCCAAAAGAUCUGAUUUUUCUCAUCUCAACGCAUCACGCCGUCUCACAGGAUCUUCUCGUCUCGCCGGAUUCUCGUGCUCACCGGUCUCUGUUUCACCGGAUUCUCGUUCAUCAUGUCAUCUCGCAGGAGCUUGUUGUUUCACCACAUCACGUCGUCGCACCAGUCAUUCGUAGAUCCGUCGGUCUCUCGUCGCCUUUCCAUACCUCAUGUUUUGCUGUUGGUGUUCAUGUUGAAUUUGACGGUGCGGUAGCCACCAUCCCUUCCAUUAAUUCUCCGUUCAUCUAGCUCAUUGAUCUUCUUGGGUUUAGGACAUGAGAGAUUUUGAAAUCAAACCCCUAAGCUCCAUUUUAACAUUGAAGAGGAGCUAAGAUCAAAAACGAAGAGAGGAGCCAAGAUCAAGAACUAAUUAUAUGAGAUAGGUAGUAUAAUUAUUAUUUAGGAAGAACUUCUUUAUAUUCAGGAAGAAUUCCUUGACAUUCAAGAAGGAUUAGAUGACAUUCAUUCAUAGACAUUUAUGAUGUUUGUGAAACAUUUUUAGAAUAUUUUGGUACUUGUAUGAUGUUUUUGCAAUAUAAAAGUGUCACAAGUUUCUUUUA